Molecule: non-coding RNA, 80 nt
Organism: Acanthosepion pharaonis
Lineage: Eukaryota; Metazoa; Mollusca; Cephalopoda; Sepiida; Sepiidae
Source: the annotation of a GenBank genome assembly
ACGGUCAAAUCACGCUGAAAACACCGGUUCUCGUUCGAUCACCGAAGUUAAGCAUCGUAGAGCCAGGUCAGUACUUACUU